This 218-nucleotide non-coding RNA is filed under the name Bacillus sp. (in: firmicutes). Its description in RNAcentral is "Bacillus sp. T-box sequence". It matches the Rfam family "T-box leader". From Rfam's summary of the family: Uncharged tRNA acts as the effector for transcription antitermination of genes in the T-box leader family. T-boxes are found upstream of many aminoacyl-tRNA synthetase genes and some amino acid biosynthetic genes usually in Gram-positive bacteria. The record is from RNAcentral. Lineage: Bacteria; Bacillati; Bacillota; Bacilli; Caryophanales; Bacillaceae.
AUUUGAACGUUGAAAGAAGAUUAGUAUGCAAAAAUUUAUGUUACAGAGAGCGGAGUAGCAUGCUGAAAUACCCGCAGCAAUAAAUUUGCAGAACCUGCUUCUUGAGUCCUGUGUUAAUGCAUAGGCGCUAUUUUUUAGCGUUAUCAAUUCAAGCGGGAUACAUUGCAUUGUAUCCAACUAAGGUGGUACCGCGGAAAUUUGCCCUUUUCGUCCUUUAU